This 460-nucleotide ribosomal RNA is filed under the name uncultured bacterium. Its description in RNAcentral is "partial 16S ribosomal RNA". It matches the Rfam family "Bacterial small subunit ribosomal RNA", at positions 338 to 795 of the family's 1533-position model. The record is from RNAcentral.
CCUACGGGUGGCAGCAGUGAGGAAUAUUGGUCAAUGGGCGCGAGCCUGAACCAGCCAAGUAGCGUGAAGGAUGACUGCCCUACGGGUUGUAAACUUCUUUUAUAAAGGAAUAAAGUGAGGCACGUGUGCCUUUUUGCAUGUACUUCAUGAAUAAGGACCGGCUAAUUCCGUGCCAGCAGCCGCGGUAAUACGGAGGAUCCGAGCGUUAUCCGGAUUUAUUGGGUUUAAAGGGAGCGUAGAUGGGUCGUUAAGUCAGUUGUGAAAGGUUGCGGCUCAACCGUAAAAUUGCAAUGGGUACUGGCAGUCUUGAGUGCAGUUGAGGUAGGCGGAAUUCGUGGUGUAGCGGUGAAAUGCUUAGAUAUCACGAAGAACUCCGAUUGCGAAGGCAGCUUACUAAACUGCCACUGACGUUGAUGCUCGAAGGUGUGGGUAUCGAACAGGAUUAGAUACCCGUGUAGUC